AGUGAACGCUGGCGGUAGGCCUAACACAUGCAAGUCGAACGGCAGCACAGUAAGAGCUUGCUCUUACGGGUGGCGAGUGGCGGACGGGUGAGGAAUACAUCGGAAUCUACUUUUUCGUGGGGGAUAACGUAGGGAAACUUACGCUAAUACCGCAUACGACCUACGGGUGAAAGCAGGGGAUCUUCGGACCUUGCGCGAUUGAAUGAGCCGAUGUCGGAUUAGCUAGUUGGCGGGGUAAAGGCCCACCAAGGCGACGAUCCGUAGCUGGUCUGAGAGGAUGAUCGGCCACACUGGAGCUGGGACACGGUCCAGGCGCCUACGAGAGGCAGCAGUGGGGAAUAUUGGGCAAUGGGCGCAAGCCUGAUCCAGCCAUACCGCGUGGGUGAAGAAGGCCUUCGGGUUGUAAAGCCCUUUUGUUGGGAAAGAAAAGCAGCAGGUUAAUACCCCGCUGUUCUGACGGUACCCAAAGAAUAAGCACCGGCUAACUUCGUG
This 492-nucleotide ribosomal RNA is filed under the name uncultured bacterium. RNAcentral's name for it is "partial 16S ribosomal RNA". It matches the Rfam family "Bacterial small subunit ribosomal RNA", at positions 29 to 507 of the family's 1533-position model. The record is from RNAcentral.